AUUUGUCAGGUCCGCGGCCAAGGCUUGUGCUCAAUCUUCAUACUGGAAGGCGGAUGGUUAUGACAAUUUGAGAGCGCGAUAUUUUGUUACAAUUGGAGGAGCUGGAGGCAAGCCAGGUGGUGAAUCCCUCCCCGGUACGUUCAGAAUUGAAAAGGAGGGGAAUGGAUAUAAGAUUGUGUAUUGUAGACUGGUGAAUUGUGUCGCGGCACCUUGCGAACCGGUUUGCAAGAAUGUUGGAGUGUAUCAGGAACAGGGGAGGAUUCUGUUAGCAUUGGCUGAUGAACCGCUUGUGGUUAAGUUUCGCAAGGUGUAAGAGGGUUGAAGCUCAUGUGUUAUGGAUUGUCAGAUGGCUGAGGCAUCCACUACUUCACUUUCUAUGAUCAGUUGAUCACUUGCUGAUAAAUAAUAAUGGGUAUAGCUGUGUAAAGUACCCUUGCUACAUAUCAAUAAAAGCGUUAAAAUAAAAACUUUGUAAACGGAUUUAGCCUCUCGAAUUCUACUUCAGUCUAUCCUAUAUUCGUACUAUGAGGUAUCAUCGAAUUCUGAGAUGGUAACUUAAAAUAUAAAACUUUGAGUAAAUUUCAGAGUUGUUGCUAUUUUUUACACCAAUUUGCAAAAAUGUAGCUGAAUUUUAAAAUUUACAGAAGUGUGGCUGGAGUUCGACUCCGCGUUUUAAAAUAUUGGCUCCCGUUAAAUCUGUCUUAACGGAAGUAACAGAGCAAGGGCAGAUGUGUAUUUUAGAAAUUAUAACGGGUAUAUUUCGGGUCAUGAUAAACCCGAACAAGAAAAUGCCAACACUCACAAAGAGCCGUGAGCUCAUCACCACCCAUUAUCGUCACCUGUCCACCAUCUCUCCUCACAAAAACCUUUGCCCGUUUAGAUGGUCAAAGAUCGGCAAGAUCGCCGGCCGGCGAGCCUGUUUUAAAACAAGAUCCGAAUCCGGCUCUUUAUGUUGAGCAUAAAUCGUAUUUUGGGUUUUCUACAUCUAUGGGGAAUAAUAUUCAGUUGAAUUGUGUGCAGAAACGGAACCUCACGAUUACGUCUUUNCCAUCGAGUGGAUCCGACUGCGCAUUCUAUACGUCUUUCUACUGAUUUGACUAUAAAAUUUGUCAGGUCCGCGGCCAAGGCUUGUGCUCAAUCUUCAUACUGGAAGGCGGAUGGUUAUGACAAUUUGAGAGCGCGAUAUUUUGUUACAAUUGGAGGAGCUGGAGGCAAGCCAGGUGGUGAAUCCCUCCCCGGUACGUUCAGAAUUGAAAAGGAGGGGAAUGGAUAUAAGAUUGUGUAUUGUAGACUGGUGAAUUGUGUCGCGGCACCUUGCGAACCGGUUUGCAAGAAUGUUGGAGUGUAUCAGGAACAGGGGAGGAUUCUGUUAGCAUUGGCUGAUGAACCGCUUGUGGUUAAGUUUCGCAAGGUGUAAGAGGGUUGAAGCUCAUGUG
This 1436-nucleotide long non-coding RNA is filed under the name Daucus carota (carrot). RNAcentral describes it as "long non-coding RNA (DCAR_LNC004292)". The record is from RNAcentral. Lineage: Eukaryota; Viridiplantae; Streptophyta; Magnoliopsida; Apiales; Apiaceae.